UACGUAGGGUGCAGGCGUUAAUCGGAAUUACUGGGCGUAAAGCGAGCGUAGUCGGUUAUUUAAGUCGGAUGUGAAAUCCCCGGGCUCAACCUGGGAAUUGCAUUCGAUACUGGAUAGCUAGAGUUCGGCAGAGGGAAGCGGAAUUUCUGGUGUAGCGGUGAAAUGCGUAGAUAUCAGAAGGAACAUCAGUGGCGAAAGCGGCUUCCUGGACCAGAACUGACGAUCAGGCUCGAAAGCGUGGGGAGCAAACAGG
RNAcentral lists this ribosomal RNA (253 nucleotides) under uncultured bacterium. RNAcentral's name for it is "partial 16S ribosomal RNA". It matches the Rfam family "Bacterial small subunit ribosomal RNA", at positions 524 to 776 of the family's 1533-position model. The record is from RNAcentral.